GGAGAAAAGAAACCAACAGGGAUUGCCCUAGUAACGGCGAGUGAAGCGGCAACAGCUCAAAUUUGAAAUCUGGCCCUCGGGUCCGAGUUGUAAUUUGUAGAGGAUGCUUUUGGUGCAGUGCCUUCCGAGUUCCUUGGAACAGGACGCCUUAGAGGGUGAGAGCCCCGUACGGUUGGACACUAAGCCUCUGUAAAGCUCCUUCGACGAGUCGAGUAGUUUGGGAAUGCUGCUCUAAAUGGGAGGUAAAUUUCUUCUAAAGCUAAAUACCGGCCAGAGACCGAUAGCGCACAAGUAGAGUGAUCGAAAGAUGAAAAGUACUUUGAAGAGGGUUAAAUAGCACGUGAAAUUGUUGAAAGGGAAGCGUUUAUGACCAGACCUUUGUCUGGCGGAUCAUCCGGUGUUCUUCACCGGUGCACUUCGCCAGGCUCAGGCCAGCAUCGAUUUCUGUAGGGGGAUAAAAACCAUGGGAACGUAGCUCUCUCCGGGGAGUGUUAUAGCCCUAGGUACAAUACCUUUACGGGGAUCGAGGUUCGCGCUUCUGCAAGGAUGCUGGCGUAAUGGUCAUCAACGACCCGUCUUGAAACACGGACCAAGGAGUCGAACAUUUAUGCGAGUGUUUGGGUGUUAAACCCUCACGCGUAAUGAAAGUGAACGGAGGUGAGAGCCCGUACGGGUGCAUCAUCGACCGAUCCUGAUGUCUUCGGAUGGAUUUGAGUAAGAGCAUAACUGUUCGGACCCGAAAGAUGGUGAACUAUGCGUGGAUAGGGUGAAGCCAGAGGAAACUCUGGUGGAGGCUCGCAGCGGUUCUGACGUGCAAAUCGAUCGUCAAAUCUGCGCAUGGGGGCGAA
This 848-nucleotide ribosomal RNA is filed under the name Diatrype mangrovei. Its description in RNAcentral is "Diatrype sp. MD-2019a partial large subunit ribosomal RNA". It matches the Rfam family "Eukaryotic large subunit ribosomal RNA", at positions 53 to 927 of the family's 3401-position model. Lineage: Eukaryota; Fungi; Ascomycota; Sordariomycetes; Xylariales; Diatrypaceae. The record is from RNAcentral.